GACGAACGCUGGCGGCGUGCUUAACACAUGCAAGUCGAACGGAAAGGCCCUGCUUUGGUGGUGUGCUCGAGUGGCAAACGGGUGUGACACAUGUGUGACACCUGCCCUUGACUUUGGUAUCACUUCGAGACACUGGGGCUUAUACCGGAUGGGAUCUCCUGCUGCGUGGUGGGGGUUGGAGAUUCUCGGCGGUUGGGGAUGGUCUCGCGGCUUAUCAGCUUGUUGGUGGGGUAGUGGCUUACCAAGGCUUUGGGGGGGAGCGGGCCUGAGGGGGUGACCGGCCACAUUGGGACUGAGAUACGGCCCAGACUCCUACGGGAGGCAGCAGUGGGGAAUAUUGCACAAUGGGCGGAAGCCUGAUGCAGCAACGCCGCGUGCGGGAUGACGGCCUUCGGGUGGUAACCCGCUUUCGCCUGUGACGAAGCGUGAGUGACGGUAAUGGGUAAAGAAGCACCGGCUAACUACGUG
This 468-nucleotide ribosomal RNA is filed under the name uncultured bacterium. RNAcentral describes it as "partial 16S ribosomal RNA". It matches the Rfam family "Bacterial small subunit ribosomal RNA", at positions 28 to 507 of the family's 1533-position model. The record is from RNAcentral.